CCUACGGGGGGCAGCAGUGGGGAAUAUUGGGCAAUGGGCGCAAGCCUGACCCAGCAACGCCGCGUGAAGGAAGAAGGCUUUCUGGUUGUAAACUUCUUUUGUCAGGGAAGAGUAGAAGACGGUACCUGACGAAUCAGCCACGGCCAACUACGUGCCAGCAGCCGCGGUAAUACGUAGGUGGCAAGCGUUGUCCGGAUUUACUGGGUGUAAAGGGCGUGUAGCCGGGUUGACAAGUCAGAUGUGAAAUCCUGCGGCUUAACCGCAGAACUGCAUUUGAAACUGUUGAUCUUGAGUACUGGAGAGGCAGACGGAAUGCCUGGUGUAGCGGUGAAAUGCGUAGAUAUUAGGAGGAACACCAGUGGCGAAGGCAGUCUGCUGGACAGCAACUGACGGUGAGGCGCGAAAGCGUGGGGAGCGAACAGGAUUAGAUACCCGUGUAGUC
RNAcentral lists this ribosomal RNA (442 nucleotides) under uncultured bacterium. Its description in RNAcentral is "partial 16S ribosomal RNA". It matches the Rfam family "Bacterial small subunit ribosomal RNA", at positions 338 to 795 of the family's 1533-position model. The record is from RNAcentral.